AUGUCUUCCACCAAAUUAUUUUGGUCCAACUGAUGAAUCUUUUGGAGUUAGAGCUGCAACUAGUAUUCUUCGAUCCAAACACCUCUGUUGGCAAAUCUCC
Long non-coding RNA from Telopea speciosissima, 100 nucleotides. RefSeq lists it as uncharacterized. Lineage: Eukaryota; Viridiplantae; Streptophyta; Magnoliopsida; Proteales; Proteaceae. The transcript has 4 exons. The record is from RefSeq and is a predicted model, not a curated record.